RNAcentral lists this ribosomal RNA (195 nucleotides) under uncultured bacterium. Its description in RNAcentral is "partial 16S ribosomal RNA". It matches the Rfam family "Bacterial small subunit ribosomal RNA", at positions 338 to 524 of the family's 1533-position model. The record is from RNAcentral.
CCUACGGGAGGCAGCAGUGAGGAAUUUUGCGCAAUGGCCGCAAGGCUGACGCAGCAACGCCGCGUGGGUGAUGAAGGCCUUCGGGUCGUAAAGCCCUGUCAGGUGGGAAGAAAGGCAUGGGGGCGAAGAGUCUUUGUGUUUGACGGUACCACCAGAGGAAGCACCGGCUAACUCCGUGCCAGCAGCCGCGGUAAU